CCCUUAGAUGUUCUGGGCCGCACGCGCGCUACACUGAUGCAUUCAACGAGUGUACCUUGGCCGAGAGGCCUGGGCAAUCUUUUGAACGUGCAUCGUGAUAGGGAUAGAUUAUUGCAAUUAUUAAUCUUGAACGAGGAAUUCCUAGUAAACGCAGAUCAUCAAUCUGCAUUGAUUACGUCCCUGCCCUUUGUACACACCGCCCGUCACACCUACCGAUUGGAUGGUCCGGUGAAGCCUCGGGAUUGUGGCGGUUGCCUUUAUUGGUGGCCGCCGCGAGAACUUGUCUAAACCUUAUCAUCUAGAGGAAGGUGAAGUCGUAACA
Molecule: ribosomal RNA, 322 nt
Filed under: uncultured eukaryote
Lineage: Eukaryota
Description: partial 18S ribosomal RNA
Rfam family: Eukaryotic small subunit ribosomal RNA
Source: RNAcentral